UUUCUAUAUGCUUAGUUCUAGAAUGCAAAACGGGAUUCUUGGAUAGGUUUAUGGCACUUGUAUUAUCGCAUUUAAUAGGGAUCUUUUCAAGUUUAAGACCAUAGUCCUUGAGUUGUUGCUUCAUCCAAAGGAUUUGACGCAACACACACCAGCGGCAAUGUAUUCCGCUUCGGCGGUGUACAAAGCAACACAGACUUGCUUUUUGUUGUGCCAUGCUACUAAUGGACUGCCCAACAAGUGACAAGUACCACUAGUGCUUUUCCGAUCCAAUUUACAUCCGGCGAAAUCGGAAUCGGAAUAACCUACCAAGGAUAGUGAGGCAUCCCGAGGAUACCAUAAUCCCAUGUUAGUUUUUCCUUUUAAAUAUCUCAUGAUUCUUUUAACAGUUUUAAGAUGUGAUUCUCUAGGUGAUGAUUGAAAUCUCGCACACAUACAUACACUAAACAUGAUAUCAGGUCGACUUGCAGUUAAGUAAAGUAAUGACCAAAUUAUUCCUCGAUACUUUGUAGCAAGCAGAUGUCAUAGGAGUGGAAGCUUCCUUACAAUUGUCCAUUUCAAAUUUCUUGAGCAGCUCUUUGCAAUAUUUUGCCUGAUGGAUGAAUAUCCCACUUUCUAGUUGUUUUAUCUGAAGUCCUAGAAAGAAUAUGAGUUCUCCCAUCAUAGACAUUUCGAACUCUCCCUGCAUCAUCUCAGAAAAUUCUUUACACAAAAAAUCAUUAGUAGAUCCAAAUAUUAU
Non-coding RNA from Lupinus albus (white lupine), 736 nucleotides. NCBI's taxonomy places the organism in Eukaryota, Viridiplantae, Streptophyta, Magnoliopsida, Fabales, Fabaceae. The record is from the annotation of a GenBank genome assembly.